RNAcentral lists this long non-coding RNA (1152 nucleotides) under Bos taurus (domestic cattle). RNAcentral describes it as "long non-coding RNA NONBTAT028128". Lineage: Eukaryota; Metazoa; Chordata; Mammalia; Artiodactyla; Bovidae. The record is from RNAcentral.
GCUCUUUCCUGUCCUUUCUGCAAGGAGACAAGUUUUCACCAUCUUUUCUACUGUGGGCAGUCAGGCACUAAUAAAUAGAAACAGGAAGUUGUUCCAUUUUUAGAGCUCACUAGACAUUAAGAGAAGAGAAAUCUAACCCUCAUCCUUUUUUCGUUAAACUUUUUAUUUUGCACUGAAGUAUAGCCAAUUAGGGCUUCCCUGAUGGCUCAGAAAGUAAUCUCCCUGGCUAAGACUUCAUGCUUCCAGUGCAGGGGGCACUGGUUCAAUCCCUGGUCAGGAAACUAAGAUCCCAGAAGCUGUACAGCCAAGAAAAGUUAAAAAAAAAAAAAACCAGUAUCAGCCAGGAGCCCCAUACUAGCAUUAAAAAAAAAAAAAAAAGGUCCAAAAUUAAGAAAAUUUUGCAUUGCAAAGGUAAUGAGAAUGGUUAUUUUAGAACAAAGGGUAACACAGAGUAACCCUGAAAUAUUAACAGGUUGUUCACGGUGUGCUUCUGAAGAGUAGAGACUAUCUUACCUGAACAUAGGGCACAAAGGGGUAAGGGGACUAAGUCUGGCAGGUAAACUGCAGCUGGAUUUGGUGUCAUUAGACUCUCGCAGCAACAAAGAGCCAAGUUCAUUUUCUUCAUGUGCCCUUGACCCCAGAGCCUUCCAUCAGAGCUAAGAGGUCUACCGUGUGUCACUGUUGCUGUGAGAGUUUGUUAUCAUCCUUCUGAGAGUUUGCCUCAGUGAGUCACAGUGUAAACAGACUGUGUGUGUGUGUGUGUGUGUGUGUGUGUGUGUGUGUGUGUAAGCCUUGGCAUCUGAAUUCUGAAAAGAAAAGGAUAAAUUCCCUGGUCAAUAAGCCUGUCUUUAUUGACCAAAACUGAACUAUAGCAAUGAGUAGUCUAGGCAGUGAAGUGGUAACUAGUAUUUAUAGAUUCUUCCUGCUCUAAAUAGGUUGGUAAUCUUGAACACAGUAAUUAGGAGGAAUUGACUAGAACCAACUGGCCUUCGAACAGAGUGUUUUUAAAAAUCUCAUUAACUGGAAUAGUUUGCUAAAAAUAAUACUGAAAAUAUGGGUUGUGUCAACAAAUCCAUUAUUAGGGCAGAACAGAGAAUUUAAGUGAAAAAUCCUAAAGCAAAGCCUGGGCCUAAAUAAUUAUCAGCACCAUUC